This is a non-coding RNA of Manis javanica (Malayan pangolin), 6861 nucleotides long. The record is from RefSeq and is a predicted model, not a curated record. NCBI's taxonomy places the organism in Eukaryota, Metazoa, Chordata, Mammalia, Pholidota, Manidae.
GGAGGUGUGAUCCUUAUUUGCUAAUUAUGUAAAAUGUUGGAGUUCUUAGUUUCAUUAGCUAUCUGGUGCUACUCCUGAGAGGAGUCUGUGCAUCUUGGUGGCCGUGUUUGGGUCCCUGUAAGAAGUCCCAUCUGGUCUCAGGUCCCUCCUGGCCCCCAGAAUUCUCUCCAGUCUCCCCCUUUCCCUUGUCAAUUUGAGGAGAAUGAUUCCAACCUCAUAACUUGUUUUGAGCUCAUUUAAUAUUUAUCAGGCAUUUGAGUAACAUUUAUUAAUCUGAAGGUUGUCAUUGUUAUUUGGUAAAUUUUGUUGUUCGAGGGGAGACAUGAGAAUUUCUCAUUUUAAAAUCACACAGUUUGGAUUCACAGCCUCACGAAAAAUCAGAGAACUUCCCAGGGCUUGAGUGUACUUCAGAACUUCAGUGAUACAUGCAUAUUUUUUUAAUCCAGGAGGAGGCAAAGAUUUAUAUAAUGCAUGCAGUAGACACUCAUUACAUGUUAAUGUCUUCCUUCUUUAAUACUGGCAGAAUGAUAAUUAGAGGAAAUUAAUUGGCCGCACAACUAGAGGAAUGCACACCCUAAUAAUUACUUUCACCAUAGGAAAGAUAUCAACUCUCUGCUGUCCACCUUCUUGCUCUUAGAAUGUCCUGAUUCCUCUCAAGAACUGAGGAGAUGAAUUCUCAGCGAAUGUCCCCUUUGAAGCAAAGCUAUAUCAUGAUGAAAUAUGUCAUGGAUGCAUUUUAUGUGCUCUUCGAUAUGUAUACAUUUCAUGAAGUGAGUGGUGUAUUCUACCAUAAAAAACAAUUUUCAGAAGCACCUCUGCCACGACUUCCUCCCUGGCCGUUCGCCGAAGCCAGCACACUGGGGUGCACGGGGAGCACCCCCCACUCUGCCACGACUGCCUGCUACCCCGCCUUCCCCAGCCUCCCAGCUACAGCCUGUCCUGGUUUUGGUAGCCUGGGGCCACUGCCAGACAGCAACACUGUGGACACCCCUCUGUCUCCUGCACCUGCUACCACAUGGGAAUUAACACAAAAGAAUGUGUUGCACUGAGUCCUGCUUCCCAGACUGGAAUCUACCUCCACUCCAAGACCUAGACCUUCGCUGCUCUUGGACCCCGCCUCCCAAGUCACCCCUCCACCACCUGUCAGCUGCGGCUUCCUCAGCUUGCACUCCCCUGUGUUACCUGCUCAGGGCCCACCCUGGCCUCACCUUUUGCCUGCAUGUUAACUUGGUGGCCUGUCCUUGCCUGUCUGUGGAAUCUUCUCUGCAAGAAGGUCACUGCCAAGCAGCAGUCUUGGUGAAGGCCCAUCAACCUCUGACUUUGCACAGCUGGCCACAGGGCUGGUAUGGGAGCACCUCAUGGCCCUCUGGACUCUGAAGCUGCUACAGAUACUGCUGAGCAGAAGUGUUUUCCCUCUGAAGUGUUUGUCCACCAGGCAGACAUAUUGAACCAAAGCAAACACGUGGGCUGUUGGGAGGAGUGCACGCAGGUAGCUGUUGGUGUGUUGGUUGCAGCAAAUGCUUAUUUGGCAAACAUUCGAGGACUUCCAGCUGGACUAGCUUGCCUGUGUGUCUGCAGAACUGUAACAAGGAUCCCAGCUCAGUGGGCAGGGCUGGUUAUCGGCAUAAACUUGCUGUCCCAGCCCCUCCUCAUCCUUUCCCCUUGCACGCAGCACAGUGUGGGUGCAUAACCCGGGCCUGGAUGCACGUUCUCCUCCUGUGACCGCCCAGGCCUAACCCAAAGUGCUUGGGGCAUGUUGCUUAGCCUGUCUGAGCCUCAGUCUCCUCGAGCAUCUGAUGGGGGUAAUAAUCUAACAGGGGCCUAUAACUGAGGUAACCCAGCGGUAUAGGACAGGACCAGUGAGCAUUUGGUCCCCCUUGCUUUUUGUGGCCACAGAGAUGCUCUGGAGAACAUGGUGCUGUGAUCCCUCCCCAGAUUUCCAUGUGCCCCACAAAAAUACAGCCAUGAGGAUGCAGUAUAGGCCACCCUCCCCACUCUCUGCUUUCUUCUCCUAUCCUGGCAUUCCUGGAGACUCCAACCUGCAGGGCAUUUACUCUGUCUGUUAACAUUUUCAGACUUGCACUGCAGGGGGCACUGAAAGGCACCCCAGCCUGGCAGGUCAGUGACCCCGCUGGUGGCAAGGUGUCUCUCUGGAAGUGAGUGGCUGGCGAUAAAAAGAAACAUAGACACAAAUAAAAACCCAGCCUUCAGUUUCACACUGAUCGUGAUACAGAGCUGAGGACAGAUGACUCUGGUCAGGCCUGAUUGUUGGGACCCACCCAGCCCAGUGAUAGCAGCGUGUGGGAGGAACCCAUGAACCCCAGGGGGAAGGAGGGCCUGACAGAGAGGAGCUGAGGCUCGCAGAGGGUGGGGUGGGUGAGGAGACUUAGCCCAAGUGCAUUCAAGGGAAAAGGUGUGCAUAUGAUCAUGAUUUGGAAGCAGGGAGGGUGGUGUCUUGGGGGACACAAGGGUGGAGAGGGAGGCUGGGAUGAUAUCUGGGAGAAAGCCUUCUACUCACCAGGUCCCAAGUCCUGAAAAGCAGAAACUGGCAGGUCUGUCUGUCCCAUUGGAAAAUUCCUCUGAAGAGGGAGUCUGAUGGCCUUAAAGUCUGUGAUGGUUAAUUUUUUGUCAACUGGACCAGGCCUCAGGGGGCACAAAUGUUUGGUCAACUAUUAUUCUUCAUAGGGUGUUUCUGCAAGGGUGCUUUGGUAUGAUCUUAACAUUUAAAUGGAUAGAUUGAAUAAAACAGAUUGCUCUUCCUAAUGUGGGUGGGUCUCGUCCAAUCAGUUGAAGGCCUGCAUAGACCCAAAAGGCCAACCUCCUCUUCAGCAACAGUGAAAGCCUCCUCUGAAUUGCCUUUGAGCUGGGAUGUUGGUCUGCUCCUGCGUUCAGACUCUGGCUGAAACAUCAGCUCUUCCUGGGUCUUGAGCUUACUGGCUUUCACCUAGAGCUGAGACACCGUCUUUCCUAAUCGCAGGCUCUGAGACUCAAGCUGAAACAACACCUUCAGCUCUCCUGGGUCUCCAGCUUGCCAACUGGAGUUUUGGGGGCUUCUCAGCCUCCAUAAUCAUGUGAGCCAGUUCUUUACAAUAAAUCACGUUUUGUGUGUGUGUGUGUGUGUGUGUGUGUCCUAUUGGUUCUGUUUUUCUGGAGACUCUGACAAAUGCAAGGUCCUAUGGACCCGUGGCUCCCUGCAGCACACCUCUGUGAUCCAGGAGGCAGUUCCCAGACAGAGACAUUGUGAGCUGGGCAGACACCCAGAGAGCUCUACAGGGGCCCUUUCACACCAAGAGCAGCAGCCUUCUCUGUGUUCCUGGAGUAUGCUGCCUAUAUAUACCCAUGCAACAGCAUGUGUGUGUGUGUGUCUGAUCUCUACACUCCACGUGGUCAAUGGUUCAGCCCUUGGAUGGUACUUGAGCCUUUGUAUGUCAAAGCCUGACCCAAAGCUGGAAUGUGGGUGCUGCUCAAGGGUAGCUUUUGAGUUAAUUGGAGGAAGGUGGCAGGUAGCCCAUAGAUCUGGAGGAGCCCAAGCCGGCCUGACUGUGGUGACAGAAGGGCCUGCCCCCCAGAUGGCCCCCCAGCCCACACAGGCUGAAGUAUCUGCUCUUUCUCUCAAUUGGCAUUGCAGUGUCCCCAGCACCUCCUGGCAGCUUCUGCAGGGUGGACAGGGGCUGCCCAAAUGGUCAGUGCAAGACUCCAGGGCCAGCUUCCUGUGAGCCUGGCAUCUGGACAUGCUGGUGCUGUUUUCAAAUGGUUUUGAAACUUGUAGACACCAAGGGGCCACACCAGGCCUCUGAUGUUCUCUCUCAUGCAAGACUGACCUGUGAAUGAGGAACACCAGCCAAGCCCCGGGCAGCACCCAGCAGCUGUGGGCGUGCAUCCCUGCUGCUCCCUUAUUUCAGAGGCCAGAACCAUCCAAACCACACUAGGUGUCAGCAGGAAACAAGUGCAGGACACUCAGGGCUCCUGCCCUGCCUGCCCCUUUAGAGUCAGUGACAGGGGGCCCUGCCCCAGGCCCUGUGUGUCCCUUGCCUGGUGCCCUUCCUGUCUGGGGACUUCCCUCAUUCUGUUUCCCAUAAAUGGAAGUCUGUCUCCUUUGCCCAUGAGUAUGUGUGAUUUAUAGUGAAUUGUGUGAUGACCUCAGCUUAGUGUGGACCCAGCGGGACCAAUGUCAUGUAUCUGCUGUGUCUGAUCGAAUGUUGAGGAUGUCCUCAGACUCCAUCCACUGAAGUCAUGUAGCCAUACUAUUUUAAUCCCAGAAGAUCCUCUGGUGAUGUCUGAGCAUCUCCCUUUAUGAAGGCAGAAAGUUCUAGAGGAAUACACACAGGGCCAGCAGUGAGAUGGCCAGAGGCACUUGAUGCAUCCCUGCACCUCCUUGCCAGGGUGGAGCUGCCCUGCACUACCAGGGACCACCCAUUCUUGUGUCCCUUCCUGACACUAUAGGGUUUUGGCAGAGAUCAUGUAUUAAGAUGAGCUCUCACUGGAGUAAAGUGGAGCCUAAUUCAGUGAUUGGUGGCCUUCUGAGAAGAGAAAACAGAGACCCAGGAGCAAGCGGAAGGCCAUAUGAAGACAGGCAGAGAUGGGGGGUGAUGUAGCCACAAGCCAAGGGCUGCUGGACAAGGCAAAGCAGGGUCCUUCCUCGGGGCCUUCAGAGAAAGCUCAGCCAGCCUGCCACCUUCUUCCAGGAGUCUAGCCUCCAUGAGAGAAUAAUUGUCUAUUGUUAUCAGUCACUCAGUUUUGGGUUAUUUGUGUAUGGUAGCCCUAGGAAACAAAACAUGUCCUCACACACGACUAGCUGACAUUUUAGUGGUGCUUUUCUCCUUUUCAUCUGCCUAUUUCUUCCCCCAGCUGCCCUGGAAGGGUACCACUGGCCAGGGUACUCUCAGAAUCACCUCUAGUGACGAGCCCAAACUCCACACACUCAUCACUGAAGACCAGUGUCAGAACCGCUUGUGUUUACACACAAAAUUCUUCUUUUACUCACAUCGCAACUGUGGUGCUUCUCAAAGCGUGGGGGGUGUGGUGAUUGGUAAGCUGGUGCCAGGUGGUGUGUGCAUGAUUUCAACAGUCAUAGAAAAAUGUUAAUGAGACUAGGGAAAAGUGUAACUUGUACAUCAAACCCAUUUUCAUGGUUAUUAUUGCCUGAGACAAGGCUAAAUAAAAACUGAGUUAAUUUAAAGUUGAUGUAAAGAGAAAUAGUAAAUAGAUGUGGUACAUGGUGGCACAUUAUUCACUGGAAUUUGAGCACUAUUGCAGUGGAAGAAACAGUGUUGUUUUUUUGGGGGGUGGUUGAUGGCUGCAGGUUCAAAUAUGGCUUUUCCUACUGGUGCUGGGACACCAGGCAGUUGUUGAAUCUCUGAACCUCAGAUUUCACUUCUGCACAAUGGGAUCAUGAGGCCCAAAUUAGAGACUUUGUCAGCUGGAUUAAAGCAAAGGGCAGCUGGGAAUGUGCCUGGUGCUUGGCACUUGGCAUAGGCAGAUGGUCAGCAGAUGAGGCUUCGCUGCUGGGCUCUGCACUGAGGCCGGGAGGGCCCUUCUGCAGUGCCCACUGGGGACCCAUGGCCAUGCUCUUCCUGUCCUCUGCCCAGAAGGCUGUCUGGCUCAUGUGAAGCAGCAGGCUUGUCCUGGUGGGAAGGCAGAGGCCCUGCCAGGUUGCCUGGGCCACUUGAGUACCUUGUGAUGAGGGACAGCUCUCCUUAGCUCCUAAGUCUUGGGUCACCUCAGACCUACAGGCAUCAUGCUAAAACUAUCCUUUCACUCUUGGAGCUUUCUGAUAAACACACCUUGAGUCACCCUGGCAGUGACUGGUGAGCUCAGCACAAGAGUGCCUGUUGCAUUAUAAGAUUGUACCAGACCAUGCUUUCUGGAAAGUUCUGGCAAGAAGGCAGGUGGGCCCCUUGCUUACACAAUGAUGAGAAUAUCCUCCUCUAGACAGCUGCCCAAGCGGAAGAUCUUGUCCAGAGGCCCAAGUGCAGUACUCUCAGGGUCACAGCUUGCCUUUGGUACACUACACAUAGUUGCUCCAUCCCAUCACCACAGGGACACUGGCACUAUUGCAUCUUGUCCAGACAUUUCCCAGAUUCCCAGGCCACCAUGAUCCCACUUCCAAGGUUUCUCCCAAAUGUAGAUGCCAGACUCAAGACUCAUGGUUGUGAGGGCCUCUGCAAAGUUCCACCAGCCCAUAUUCUGGCACCUCCUGCAUGAUCAACUACUCAAGAAAUUUUUUAAAACUGACUUUAACUCACUUUUUAUCCCAUAAAUUUACCUCAUGCAAGUAAUGCCACCAUUAGAAGUAUGGGCUUUGUUUGCUGUAUUUAUGAUACUUGGUAUAUUAUAAGUAUACAACACACCUAAAUAAAUACCUAAUAUUAAUUUAUGUGGUAGAUAUAUUUUUGUGGUAAAAUAUAUAUAACAUAAAUUUUACCAUUUUAAUUAUUUUUAAGUGCACAGGUUAAGGCCCACAAUUUCUAAUUGAUUUGAAAAUACUGAUUUGAGUAAGGCUUGGAUAGGUUGGGGAAAUUCACCUCUGCUCAGGGGAUCUCAAGGGGCUAGAUAGAGACUUUUAAGCCCAGGCUGCCUGAUUCCAAACCCCUAUUUGUCAUAAUAACAAUAAUAACAAAAACAACAAUGACUAAUGUUUAUGGGGUCUUUACCGUGUGCCAGGCAUUGUUCCAAGUACUUAAACAUUGUAUGUUUUUAUAAUAUCAUAUGAACUUAUAUCUAAAAUCUCACUUGUAUUUGUAUACCUAUAUAUUCAUAUAUAUUAUAUAUAUAUAACAAAUUAGAGUAUUUGCACAUCACUUUUGACUUCCCCAAAGCUUAAACUACUAAUAGCCUACCAACUGGUGCCUUACUGAUAAC